This 72-nucleotide transfer RNA is filed under the name Sphaerodactylus townsendi. Its description in RNAcentral is "tRNA-Pro". Lineage: Eukaryota; Metazoa; Chordata; Lepidosauria; Squamata; Sphaerodactylidae. The record is from RNAcentral.
GCCAAUGUGGUGCAGUGGUUAGAAUGCUAGGCUGGGAUCUGGGAGAACCAGGUUCGAAUCCCUGCUCUGCCA